UUCUGUUACGUUAUUUGAAUUGAUACGAAAACUAUUUAAGAAAUUAUGUUCUAAAAUUCUAAAUAACCUGUUUAUACUAUACUUUCCAUAACAUACAAAAAUUUGCUCAAAUACUAAGAAAUUCUCUCUUAGUAACUAUGUCCAGCCAUACUUAGGCUAUGAAUGAUAACCAAAACUGCAUCUAAAACCGUACCGCAACAGUGCUGUAACAGUAUCAAAAUCUCUACAUAUACAUAUGUAUUUAUGUAUUUUCAUUACUAUUUGAACCGCACCGCACUUCUCCCGUACCGCAAAACGCAGUCACCAUUCGGAGCCUUAAUAUUUAAUCGGCUUUCAUGCUCAAACGUUAUGACGUAAAAUUUU
Molecule: small RNA, 363 nt
Filed under: Arabidopsis thaliana (thale cress)
Lineage: Eukaryota; Viridiplantae; Streptophyta; Magnoliopsida; Brassicales; Brassicaceae
Description: ATSL294430
Source: RNAcentral